GGGUUGUGAGGUUAAGCGACUAAGCGUACACGGUGGAUGCCUAGGCAAUCAGAGGCGAUGAAGGACGUGCUAAUCUGCGAUAAGCGUCGGUAAGGUGAUAUGAACCGUUAUACCCGACGAUUUCCGAAUGGGGAAACCCAGUGCAAUCCGUUGCACUAUCGUUUGAUGAAUACAUAGUCAAACGAAGCGAACCGGGGGAACUGAAACAUCUCAGUACCCCGAGGAAAAGAAAUCAACCGAGAUUCCCCUAGUAGCGGCGAGCGAACGGGGAGCAGCCCAGAGUCUUAAUCAGCAUUAGUAUCAGGAGAACGGUCUGGAAAGUCCGGCAGUAAAGGGUGAUAGCCCCGUAUCUGAAGAUGCUAGUGUUGUGAACUCGACGAGUAGGGCGGGACACGUGUUAUCCUGUCUGAAUAUGGGGGGACCAUCCUCCAAGGCUAAAUACUCCUGAUUGACCGAUAGUGAACCAGUACCGUGAGGGAAAGGCGAAAAGAACCCCGGCGAGGGGAGUGAAAUAGAACCUGAAACCGUGUACGUACAAGCAGUGGGAGCCUUGAUUUAUCAGGGUGACUGCGUACCUUUUGUAUAAUGGGUCAGCGACUUAUAUUCUGUAGCAAGGUUAACCGAAUAGGGGAGCCGUAGGGAAACCGAGUCUUAACUGGGCGAAUGAGUUGCAGGGUAUAGACCCGAAACCCGGUGAUCUAGCCAUGGGCAGGUUGAAGGUUGGGUAACACUAACUGGAGGACCGAACCGACUAAUGUUGAAAAAUUAGCGGAUGACUUGUGGCUGGGGGUGAAUACAAUCAAACCGGGAGAUAGCUGGUUCUCCCCGAAAGCUAUUUAGGUAGCGCCUCGUGAACUCAUCUUCGGGGGUAGAGCACUGUUUCGACUAGGGGGUCAUCCCGACUUACCAACUCGAUGCAAACUACGAAUACCGAAGAAUGUUAUCACGGGAGACACACGGCGGGUGCUAACGUUCGUCGUGAAGAGGGAAACAACCCAGACCGCCAGCUAAGGUCCCAAAGUCAUAGUUAAGUGGGAAACGAAGUGGGAAGGCUCAGACAGCCAGGAUGUUGGCUUAGAAGCAGCCAUCAUUUAAAGAAAGCGUAAUAGCUCACUGGUCGAGUCAGUAUGCGCGGAAGAUGUAACGGGGCUAAACUAUGCACCGAAGCUGCGGCAGCGAUAUGUAAAUAUUGUUGGGUAGGGGAGCGUUCUGUAAGCCUGUGAAGGUGUACUGUGAGGUAUGCUGGAGGUAUCAGAAGUGCGAAUGCUGACAUAAGUAACGAUAAUGCGGGUGAAAAACCCGCACGCCGGAAGACCAAGGGUUCCUGUCCAACGUUAAUCGGGGCAGGGUGAGUCGACCCCUAAGGCGAGGCAGAAAUGCGUAGUCGAUGGGAAACGGGUUAAUAUUCCCGUACUGGUGAUAAUUGCGAUGGGGGGACGGAGAAGGCUAGGCUGGUACUGGGCGACGGUUGUCCCGGUUUAAGGAUGUAGGCAGGUGAAUUAGGCAAAUCCGGUUCACUAUAUGCUGAGGUCUGAUGACGAGUCACUACGGUGGCGAAGUAGCUCAUGCCCCGCUUCCAGGAAAAGCCUCUAAGCUCUAGAUUAUCACUAAUCGUACCCCAAACCGACACAGGUGGUCAGGUAGAGAAUACUCAGGCGCUUGAGAGAACUCGGGUGAAGGAACUAGGCAAAAUGGUGCCGUAACUUCGGGAGAAGGCACGCUGGCGCUAGGUGAAGUGGUUUACCCAUGGAGCUGAAGCCAGUCGCAGAUACCAGCUGGCUGCAACUGUUUAUUAAAAACACAGCACUGUGCAAACACGAAAGUGGACGUAUACGGUGUGACGCCUGCCCGGUGCUGGAAGGUUAAUUGAUGGGGUUAUCCGUAAGGAGAAGCUCUUGAUCGAAGCCCCAGUAAACGGCGGUAGCCAACUAUAACGGUCCUAAGGUAGCGAAAUUCCUUGUCGGGUAAGUUCCGACCUGCACGAAUGGCGUAAUGAUGGUACAGGCUGUCUCCACCCGAGACUCAGUGAAAUUGAACUCGCUGUGAAGAUGCAGUGUACCCGCGGCAAGACGGAAAGACCCCGUGAACCUUUACUAUAGCUUGACACUGAACAUUGAGCCUUGAUGUGUAGGAUAGGUGGGAGGCUUUGAAGUGUGGACGCCAGUCUGCAUGGAGCCAACCUUGAAAUACCACCCUUUAAUGUUUGAUGUUCUAACGUUGCCCCGUUAUCCGGGGUGCGGACAGUGUCUGGUGGGUAGUUUGACUGGGGCGGUCUCCUCCCAAAGAGUAACGGAGGAGCACGAAGGUUGGCUAAGCAUGGUCGGACAUCAUGCGGUUAGUGCAAAGGCAUAAGCCAGCUUGACUGCGAGAGUGACGGCUCGAGCAGGUACGAAAGUAGGUCUUAGUGAUCCGGUGGUUCUGAAUGGAAGAUACCAUCGCUCAACGGAUAAAAGGUACUCCGGGGAUAACAGGCUGAUACCGCCCAAGAGUUCAUAUCGACGGCGGUGUUUGGCACCUCGAUGUCGGCUCAUCACAUCCUGGGGCUGAAGUAGGUCCCAAAGGGUACGGCUGUUCGCCGUUUAAAGUGGUACGCGAGCUGGGUUUAGAACGUCGUGAGACAGUUCGGUCCCUAUCUGCCGUGGGCGUUGGAAGAUUGAAAGGGGCUGCUCCUAGUACGAGAGGACCGGAGUGGACGCACCACUGGUGUUCGGGUUGUCAUGCCAAUGGCAUUGCCCGGUAGCUAAGUGCGGAAGAGAUAACCGCUGAAAGCAUCUAAGCGGGAAACUUGCCUUGAGAUGAGUCUUCCCUGACCCUUUAAGGGUCCUAAAGGAACGUUUAAGACUAAGACGUUGAUAGGUUGGGUGUGUAAGCAUAGCGAUAUGUUGAGCUAACCAAUACUAAUGAACCGUGAGGCUUAACCUGACAACACCGAAGGUGUUUUAG
Molecule: ribosomal RNA, 2943 nt
Filed under: Providencia rettgeri
Lineage: Bacteria; Pseudomonadati; Pseudomonadota; Gammaproteobacteria; Enterobacterales; Morganellaceae
Description: 23S ribosomal RNA
Rfam family: Bacterial large subunit ribosomal RNA
Source: RNAcentral